RNAcentral lists this long non-coding RNA (1373 nucleotides) under Fukomys damarensis (Damara mole-rat). Its description in RNAcentral is "lncRNA (ENSFDAG00000023774.1)". The record is from RNAcentral. Lineage: Eukaryota; Metazoa; Chordata; Mammalia; Rodentia; Bathyergidae.
GAGAUCAGUUCUGUUGUUUUGCUCCUGUUGGUAGGUGAGGAAACUGAGGGAGAGAGAGGCAGACUGUGCGCGGUAGCAGAGUUUCUCCAGUGUCAUGACAGGUCUGGGGGAGGCUCCGCUGUUCUAACAGCGAAGACAGCCGUCCACCGGGCUGCUCCUGAGCACGCUCAGAAGGAAAGACCCAGACUGUGCGGCGUCACGGCACAGAAGCCCCAGGUACACGUGGGCAAGGAGAUUUACAGUGCGGAGCAGCGCAGAGAAGGCGACAGAGACCACGCAGAGCUCCUCACUGGCUCGGCUCUUCCAGCCACCUUCAGCCCAUCCUCCGAACCCUUGUGCAAAGGCUCUCCGCUGCCAGGAGGGUGGCACCUGUAUGUUUGGCCACUUCUCUUUGGGCUGAGGAGAGGACAGAAUUUUUGGCUGUAUGCCCAGCAGGAGGAAGUUUAGAGAAGUCGCUUAUCUCUAGAAGAAAAGGCUAACUUUUAAAAUUCCAUUUGGCAGUCCCAGCUACACAAGGUCACACAGCCAGCCCACGCAUGUGCCAAACGGAUGUUUGUCUGGUGGCCCCUGGAGGAAAAAAAUUAUUUUUCUACCAAAACAGUCACAGAAGCACAGAGCAGAAUGCCACAUUCGUACCAGGUGUGGUGGCCCAUGCCUGCAACCUCAGCAUUUGGGAGGCUGAGACAGGAGGAUUGCCAUGAAUUCGAGACCAGCCUGGAACGCAUAGUAAGUGCACAGCCAGCCUUAACUACAUAGCAAGACCCUGUCUCAAAAAAAGACAGACGGGCCGGGGAUUUAGCUCAGUGGUGCUGCUCCCUGCCUCACAAGCACAAGGUCUCGAGUUUGAUCCCUAGUACUAAAAAAACAAAACAAAACAAAACAAAACAGAGAGAGAGAGGGAAUUCAGUAGCUCAAUAGCUUUUGUUUGUCUGUCUGUUUAGACAUGGUCUCACUUUUGUUUUGCUUUCAUCCUUUCCUCUCCGUGUCUGGCCCGUGUGCUCUACAGAGCCAGAUCUUCCCUCAUCCCUUCACCCCUUGAUUUUGAAAUAAACUUUGGCAGCCCUUUCGGACUGUCUCAUUCAAUUCUUUGUUUGAGGCAAAACAAACCCCUGUCAUACGUUUACUCGGGAGACAUUUCUACAGGAACUGACUGACAACAUUCCUCAGCCCCUUUCACAACUAGACAGCGCCGGCCUAGAGACCUGCCUGGCUCAUCCCCAGUCACGAAGCAAGCCGAGCCAUGGGCCAGAACAGGGCCGCUUGCUCUCAGCACCAUUGACCUUUAAGUGAGACUAUUUCAAGUGUCCUGUGCUUGUCAGAGGUUUGCAGCCUCUCUGCUCUCUGCCUUCUAGAGACCAUGAUCUCCCACCCCG